CCUACGGGAGGCAGCAGUGGGGGAAUUUUGGACAAUGGGCGAAAGCCUGAUCCAGCAAUGCCGCGUGAGUGAAGAAGGCCUUCGGGUUGUAAAGCUCUUUUGUCAGGGAAGAAACGGUGAGAGCUAAUAUCUUUUGCUAAUGACGGUACCUGAAGAAUAAGCACCGGCUAACUACGUGCCAGCAGCCGCGGUAAUACGUAGGGUGCAAGCGUUAAUCGGAAUUACUGGGCGUAAAGCGUGCGCAGGCGGUUUUGUAAGUCUGAUGUGAAAUCCCCGGGCUCAACCUGGGAAUUGCAUUGGAGACUGCAAGGCUAGAAUCUGGCAGAGGGGGGGUAGAAUUCCACGUGUAGCAGUGAAAUGCGUAGAUAUGUGGAGGAACACCGAUGGCGAAGGCAGCCCCCUGGGUCAAGAUUGACGCUCAUGCACGAAAGCGUGGGGAGCAAACAGGAUUAGAUACCCUGGUAGUCCACGCCCUAAACGAUGUCUACUAGUUGUCGGGUCUUAUUGACUUGGUAACGCAGCUAACGCGUGAAGUAGACCGCCUGGGGAGUACGGUCGCGAAGAUUAAAACGUCGAAAGGAAGUUGACGG
Molecule: ribosomal RNA, 590 nt
Filed under: uncultured bacterium
Lineage: Bacteria
Description: bacterial SSU rRNA
Rfam family: Bacterial small subunit ribosomal RNA
Source: RNAcentral